UACGGAGGGAGCUAGCGUUGUUCGGAAUUACUGGGCGUAAAGCGCACGUAGGCGGCUUUGUAAGUUAGAGGUGAAAGCCCGGGGCUCAACUCCGGAACUGCCUUUAAGACUGCAUCGCUUGAAUCCAGGAGAGGUGAGUGGAAUUCCGAGUGUAGAGGUGAAAUUCGUAGAUAUUCGGAAGAACACCAGUGGCGAAGGCGACUUACUGGACGACUGUUGACGCUGAGGUGCGAAAGCGUGGGGAGCAAACAGG
This 253-nucleotide ribosomal RNA is filed under the name uncultured bacterium. RNAcentral describes it as "partial 16S ribosomal RNA". It matches the Rfam family "Bacterial small subunit ribosomal RNA", at positions 524 to 776 of the family's 1533-position model. The record is from RNAcentral.